RNAcentral lists this ribosomal RNA (244 nucleotides) under uncultured Actinomycetales bacterium. RNAcentral describes it as "partial 16S ribosomal RNA". It matches the Rfam family "Bacterial small subunit ribosomal RNA", at positions 524 to 767 of the family's 1533-position model. The record is from RNAcentral. Lineage: Bacteria; Bacillati; Actinomycetota; Actinomycetes; Actinomycetales.
UACGUAGGGUGCAAGCGUUGUCCGGAAUUACUGGGCGUAAAGAGCUCGUAGGUGGUUUGUCACGUCGUCUGUGAAAUUCCACAGCUUAACUGUGGGCGUGCAGGCGAUACGGGCUGACUUGAGUACUGUAGGGGUAACUGGAAUUCCUGGUGUAGCGGUGAAAUGCGCAGAUAUCAGGAGGAACACCGAUGGCGAAGGCAGGUUACUGGGCAGUCACUGACGCUGAGGAGCGAAAGCAUGGGUA